This 4437-nucleotide long non-coding RNA is filed under the name Taeniopygia guttata (zebra finch). RNAcentral describes it as "lncRNA (ENSTGUG00000024189.1)". The record is from RNAcentral. Lineage: Eukaryota; Metazoa; Chordata; Aves; Passeriformes; Estrildidae.
AAAAAAUCCCCCAAAAUCCCCCCAAAAUUACCGCAACCCCCCCAAAAUCCCUCAAAUCCCCCCCACCCCCCCAAAUUUCCCCGAAAUUUCCACAAAAUUCCCCCAAAAUCCCCCCAAAAUCACCCAAAUUUUCCCUCAAAUUCCCCAAAAUUCCCCAUAAUCCCCCAAAUUUCCCCCGGAUUUCCACAAAAUCUUCCCAAAAUCCCCCCAACCCCCCCCCAAAAUCCCCCAAAAUUCCCCAAAAUCCCCCCAAAAUUCCCCAGAUUUCCCCAAAACCCCACAAAUUUUCCCCAAAACCCCCUGAAUUUCCCCCAAAUUUCCCCAAAAUCUCCCCAAAUCCCCUCAAACUUCAUCAAACUCCCUCAAAAUUCCCCAAAAUCCCCCAAAUCCCCCAAAAUUCCCCAAAAUCCCCCCCAAAAUCCCCCCAAUUUUCCCCCAAAUUUCCCCCGAAUUUCCCCAAAAUUCCCCCCAAAAUUCCCCAAAACCACCCAAAUCCCCCACAAAAUCCCCCAAAUUUCCCCAAAAUACCCCCAAAAUGCCCCAAUUUUCUCUAAAAUCCCCCAAAUUUCCCCCGAAUUUCCCCAAAAUUCCCCCCAAAAUUCCCCAAAACCACCCAAACCCCCCCCGAAAUCCCCCCAAAAUCCCCCAAAUCCCCCAAAAUCCCUCAAUUUCCCCCAAACUCCCCCAAAAUUCCCCAAAUUUUCCCCAAAUUUCCCCAAAAUCUUCCCAAAAUCCCCCAAAAUCCCCCCAAAAUUCGCCAAAUUUCCCCCUAAUUUCCCCCAAAUCCCCUCAAACUCCCCCAAAUUUCCCCAAAAUCCCCCAAAUUUCCCCAAAUCCCCCCAAAUUCCCCUCCCCACCUUGCAGUAGCGGCAGUAGCGGCAGACGGAGCCGGGCCGGUACCGCCCUUCGGCCUCACCUUCCUCCUCCUCCUCCUCCUCCUCUUCCUCACUCCCUGUGUUGGGGGAUGGGGUCAGAUGUCCCCAAAAUUCCCCAAAAUUCCCCAAAAUUCCCCCAAAAUCCCCCCAAAUCUCCCAAAAUCCACCCAAAAUCCAUCCAAAAUCCCCCAAAAACCCCCCAAAAAAUCCCACCUUCCUCCUCCUCCUCUUCCUCACUCCCUGCGUUUGGGGGAUGGGCUCAAAUAUCCCCAAAAAUCCCCAAAAUUCCCCCAAAAUUCCCCCAAAAAUCCCCCAAAAAUUCCCGAAAAAAUCCCCAAAAAAUUCCCACCUUCCUCCUCCUCCUCCUCCUCCUCCUCUUCCUCACUCCCUGCGUUCGGGGGAUGGGCUCAAAUAUCCCCAAAAAUCCCAAAAUUCCCCCAAAAUCCCCCAAAAUCCCCCAAAAUCCACCCAAAAAUUCCCAAAAAUUUCCCACCUUCCUCCUCCUCCUCUUCCUCACUCCCUGCAUUUGGGGGAUGGGGUCAAAUGUCCCCAAAAAUCCCCAAAAUUCCCCCAAAAACCCCCAAAAACCCCCCCAAAAAUUCCCACCUUCCUCCUCCUCCUCUUCCUCACUCCCUGCGUUGGGGGGAUGGGCUCAAAUAUCCCCAAAAAUCCCCAAAAUUCCCCCAAAAAUCCACCCAAAUCCACCCCAAAAUCCACCCAAAAUCCCCAAAAUUCCCCCAAAAAAUCCCCAAAAAAAUCCCACCUUCCUCCUCCUCCUCUUCCUCACUCCCUGCGUUCGGGGGAUGGGCUCAAAUAUCCCCAAAAAUCCCCAAAAUUCCCCAAAAUCCACCCAAAAAUUCCCAAAAAAUUCCCACCUUCCUCCUCCUCCUCUUCCUCGGAGCUGUGGCCGCCAUCUUCCUCUUCCUCAUCUUCAUCAUCGUCAUCGCUGCCUUCCUCCUCCUCCUCCUCCUCAGAGCUGGGGGGGCUGCGGCCUUCAUCAUCAUCAUCAUCGUCAUCGUCGUCAUGGUGAUGGUGGCCUUCAUCCACCCGGGCUUGACCUUCAUCAUCAUCGUCAUGGCGAUGGUGACCUUCAUCCACCCUCGGUUGGCCUUCAUCAUCGUCGUCAUGGUGAUGGUGGCCUUCAUCCACCCUCGGUUGACCUUCAUCAUCAUCGUCAUGGUGAUGGUGGCCUUCAUCCACCCUCGGUUGACCUUCAUCAUCAUCGUCAUGGUGACGGUGGCCUUCAUCCACCCUCGGUUGGCCUUCAUCAUCAUCGUCAUGGCGAUGGUGGCCUUCAUCCACCCUCGGUUGACCUUCAUCAUCGUCAUGGUGAUGGUGGCCUUCAUCCACCCGGGCUUGACCUUCAUCAUCAUCGUCAUCAUCGUCAUCCUCAUGGUUGCCAUGGUGAUGAUGAUGAUGGUGGUGACUGGGGGAGCCUUCAUCGCUUUGAUGAUGAGGAAGGUGAUGAAGGUCAGCGGGGGAGCCUUCAUCCCCCUGAGGAUGAUGAUGGAGGGGGUCAGCGGGGGAGCCUUCAUCCCCCUGGUGAUGAUGAUGAUGAGGAUGAGGAUGAUGAAGGUGACCGGGGGAGCCUUCCUCGCUCUGCUGAGGAUGAGGAUGAUGAGGAUGAGGAUGAUGAGGAUGAGGAUGAUGAUGAAGGUCCUCCAGGGCCGCCCCCACCCCGAGGAGCAGCAGCAGUAGGAGCCACAGCCUGGCCGGAGCCAUGAGUGACCACUGAGUGACCACUGAGUGACCGCUGGGUGACCACUGACCGCUGAGUGACCACUGACCGCUGGGUGAUCAAUGAGUGAUCGAUGAGUGAUCAAUGAGUGACCACUGACCGCUGAGUGACCACUGACCGCUGAGUGACCACUGACCGCUGAAUGACCACUGACCGCUGAGUGACCGCUGACUGCUGGGUGAUCAAUGAGUGAUCAAUGAGUGACCGCUGAGUGACAGCUGAGUGACCGCUGGGUGAUCAAUGAGUGAUCGAUGAGUGAUCAAUGAGUGACCGCUGAGUGACCACUGAAUGACCAUAGAGUGACCGGUGCCGAAUGACCACGGAGUUACCAGUGCUGAGUGACCAUGGAGUGACCGCUGGGUGACCGCUGACUGACCACAAAGUGACUGCUGGGUGACCGCUGAGUGACCAGCACAAAGUGACCGGUGGGUGACCACGGAGAGAUCACAGAGAGACCUCAGAGUGACCACAGAGUGACCGCUGAGUGACCAUGGAGUGACCAGUGCUGAGGACUGCUGAGUGACCACGGAGAGACUUCAGAGUGACAUCAGAGUGACCACGGAGUGACCACUGAGAGACCUCGGAGUGACCGCUGGGUGACCAGUGCUGAAUGACCACGGAGUGACCUCGGAGUGACUUCAGAGUGACCGCUGAGUGACCGAUGGGUGACCUCAGAGUAACUGCUGAGUGACCGCUGAGUGACCCCUGUGAGACCGUUGACUGACCGCUGGGUGACCACUGAGUGACCGCUGCUGAAUGACCACAGAGUGACCGCUGAGAGACCUCGGAGUGACUGAUGCUGAAUGACCACGGAGUGACCAGUGCUGAGUGACCGCUGAGUGACCGCUGGGUUACCAGUGCUGAAUGACCAUGGAGUGACCACUGAGAGACCGCUGAGUGACCGCUGAGUGACCAGUGCUGAAUGACCACGGAGUGACCGCUGAGUGACUGGUGCUGAAUGACCGCUGAGUGACCAGUGAUGAAUGACCUCAGAGUGACAUCAGAAUGACCACGGAGUGACCACGGAGUGACCGCUGAGUAACCGCUGAGUGACCUCUGAGUGACCGGUGCUGAGUGACCUCAGAAUGACGUCAGAAUGACCACGGAGUGACCGAUGAGUGACCGGUGCUGAAUGACCACGGAGUGACCAGUGACAAAUGACCACGGAAUGACCACUGAGUGACCGGUGCUGAGUGACCGCUGAGUGACCGCUGAGUGACCGCUGGGUGACCAGUGACGAAUGACCACGGAGUGACCACUGAGAGACCUCGGAGUGACCGGUGCUGAAUGACCACGGAAUGACCACAGAGUGACCGCAGAGUGACCUCGGAGUGACCGCUGAGAGACCACAGAGUGACCACUGACCACGGAGUGACCGAUGAGUGACCGCUGAGAGACCAAUGAGUGACCGCUGAGUGACCGCUGACCGCUGAGUGACCACUGAGUGACCAGAACAGAGUGACCAGCACCGAGUGACCACAGAGUGACCACAGAGUGACCACGGAGUGACCAGCACAAAGUGACCAGCACCGAGUGACCGCCGAGUGACCACAGAGUGACCACAGAGUGACCACAGAGUGACCACAGCAGCUGCGCCCCUCCCCCACCGCGGGACCCAAAAAUAGACACGGGGGGGGGAGGGGAAAUCGAGGAGAAAAACCCAAAAAUUCAACAUUUUGAUCCAUUUUUUGGGUUUUUUUUUCACAUUUUGGGGUGUCCCCAAAUUUGGGAGGGGGGGGGUGUCAAAUUUAGGGGGGGGUCACCCCAAAUUUGGGGGGUGGGGGGGUUGAAAUCGAGGAGAAAACCCCAAAAAUUCAAUAUUUU